RNAcentral lists this ribosomal RNA (303 nucleotides) under uncultured bacterium. Its description in RNAcentral is "partial 16S ribosomal RNA". It matches the Rfam family "Bacterial small subunit ribosomal RNA", at positions 507 to 807 of the family's 1533-position model. The record is from RNAcentral.
AGCAGCCGCCGCGGUAAAACGGAGGGUGCAAGCGUUAAUCGGAAUUACUGGGCGUAAAGCGCACGCAGGCGGUCUGACAAGUCAGAUGUGAAAUCCCCGGGCUUAACCUGGGAACUGCAUUUGAAACUGUCAGGCUGGAGUCUUGUAGAGGGGGGUGGAAUUCCAGGUGUAGCGGUGAAAUGCGUAGAGAUCUGGAGGAAUACCGGUGGCGAAGGCGGCCCCCUGGACAAAGACUGACGCUCAGGUGCGAAAGCGUGGGGAGCAAACAGGAUUAGAUACCCCUGUAGUCCCUGUCUCUUAUAC